AUCUCACCGUCUUCACCUGUGAGGACACUAACGGCUCCCACUUUGAAUAAGUCAUUGUCGUCUGCGUAUUGAGCCACCACACUAGAAGUGGCUUCGUCGGUUGUGAGCCGUUGGUCAAGUUGCAAAACUCCUCUCCUCGCUCGGAUUUUCCCAAAGAAUGCGUGUUAUCAAAGUCAACGGUGUUGACCUGUCCAGUCCGGUUGACGGGUUCCUGAGGCCGCACAUAUGCUGGUUA
Arabidopsis thaliana (thale cress) is the source of this 235-nucleotide long non-coding RNA. RefSeq annotates it as other RNA. The record is from RefSeq. The transcript has a single exon. NCBI's taxonomy places the organism in Eukaryota, Viridiplantae, Streptophyta, Magnoliopsida, Brassicales, Brassicaceae.